Molecule: long non-coding RNA, 608 nt
Organism: Malania oleifera
Lineage: Eukaryota; Viridiplantae; Streptophyta; Magnoliopsida; Santalales; Ximeniaceae
Exons: 2
Source: RefSeq, a predicted model, not a curated record
GUACAAAAUUGAAGGGGUCCAUUGAUGACGACAUGAAUGCUCAAGAUUUCCCCAGUUCGUCCUUUAGAGGGACAUUUGAAUAACAUUAUCCACAAUUCAGAACCAGCCCAAAUGUUAUCUGGUGUAGAAGUUGGUUGGUGUUAUGCUCUUCCAACUUAACUACUCCCUCAAUAUUAAUUGAGGUGAGGGGAGGUUGUUUUAGUCAUUCCAAUCUUAAAGCUAAUUCUGCUCCUUUCUUCUAUAUAAAUAUAGUAAAGAAUGCAUUUCCCUCUGGCUGUGAUAAUCCUCAAAAGAGAAAUUUGGGUGAAAGCAAAAACACUCGUAUUCCUUUCUCGAUUUCUGCCUUUUAUCUGCUGUAAGUGAUAUCAGGGAAAGAAAAUGGAUGCACCACCACAAUACCAGGAUAUGUCAUACUACGAUCAUGUCCAAAGGCGCCGCGAGGAGAAAGGCUGCCUGUAUGCUUGUCUGUUUGCACUGUGUUGCUGCUUCUGCUGCGUUGAGACCUGCGAGUGCUGUUUGGAUUGCAUCUGCUGUUGCUGUAAUUAGAUCAUACACAACUGAAAAAAUGGGCAGGCUGAAUAAAAAAAAAUGGGUCUCCAAUUUGAUGA